CCUACGGGAGGCAGCAGUGGGGGAUAUUGCACAAUGGGGGGAACCCUGAUGCCGCGACGCCGCGUGGGUGAAGAAGCGCCUCGGCGCGUAAAGCCCUGUCAGCAGGGAAGAAAAUGACGGUACCUGAAGAAGAAGCGCCGGCUAACUACGUGCCAGCAGCCGCGGUAAUCCGGAGGGGGCCAGCGUUAUCCGGAUUUACUGGGUGUAAAGGGGGAGCAGACGGGGGUGCAAGCCAGGAGUGAAAGCUCUGGGGCCAACCCAGGGACUGCUGUUGAAACUGCGUGGCUGGAGUGCAUGAGGGGCAGGCGGAAUGCCUGGUGUAGCGGUGAAAUGCAUAGAUAUCAGGAGGAACGCCGGUGGCGAAGGCGGCCUGCUGGCCUGCAACUGACGUUGAGGCCCGAAAGCGUGGGGAGCAAACAGGAUUAGAUACCCUAGUAGUC
Molecule: ribosomal RNA, 440 nt
Filed under: uncultured bacterium
Lineage: Bacteria
Description: partial 16S ribosomal RNA
Rfam family: Bacterial small subunit ribosomal RNA
Source: RNAcentral